GACGAACGCUGGCGGCGUGCUUAACACAUGCAAGUCGAGCGAACAGGCGCUGAUUUUGUGGGGUGCUCGAGUGGCGAACGCGUGAGUAACACGUGAGUAACCUGCCCUUGUCUUUGGGAUAACUUCAGGAAACUCGGGCUAAUACAGGAUAGGAGCUCCUGCAGCAUGGUGGGGGAUGGAAAGUUUCGGCGUUUGGGGAUGGACUCGCGGCUUAGCAGCUUGUUGGUGUGGUAGUGGCUUACCAAGGCUUUGACGGGUAGCCGGCCUGAGAGGGUGACCGGCCACAUUGGGACUGAGAUACGGCCCAGACUCCUACGGGAGGCAGCAGUGGGGAAUAUUGCACAAUGGGCGGAAGCCUGAUGCAGCAACGCCGCGUGCGGGAUGACGGCCUUCGGGUUGUAAACCGCUUUCGCCUGUGACGAAGCGUGAGUGACGGUAAUGGGUAAAGAAGCACCGGCUAACUACGUG
RNAcentral lists this ribosomal RNA (468 nucleotides) under uncultured bacterium. Its description in RNAcentral is "partial 16S ribosomal RNA". It matches the Rfam family "Bacterial small subunit ribosomal RNA", at positions 28 to 507 of the family's 1533-position model. The record is from RNAcentral.